AGUCAGUGUCAGUUGCUCGGCGGCGGCGGCCGUGGUCACCAGGAAGGGGACGGGACGGACGGUGAUGGUGGUCGCCGCGGCGGCGUGUGCGCCCCUCAGGAAAAGAAUACUUGAGAUCCAUUUGUAAGGAAAGAAAAGGAAGCAACAACAUAAUGCCCAGAGUUGGAGCCAAUUAAACCAGACGAGUCUCACUCUGUCGCCCAGGCUGGAGUGCGGUGGCGUGAUCUUGGCUCACUGCAACCUCUGCCUUCCGGGUUCGAGUAAUUCUCCUGCCUCAGCCUCCCAAGCAGCUGGGUCUACAGUGAGACUAAUUACAUCCUUCAAUGAAGUACCAUUUUGUGAGAAAGUGAGAAUUCAAUGAUUUAUGAAAAAAUCCAAGAAGGAGAAACAAACAUUUUCUAAUAUGAAAGUAGUAAUGACUACAGCUAUAUAAAUAACAGUAACAAAGAGUAAACAUUGCUAUCUUCAGAAAUUAAGGAAUGAGAGGCAAGGAAGAAAGGACAUUCAUCUUGGAAAGACCCAAAGCACCUUGAAAUUUGGAAGGAAUGUUUUGCU
This 555-nucleotide long non-coding RNA is filed under the name Homo sapiens (human). RNAcentral's name for it is "non-protein coding lnc-PEAK1-1:16". The record is from RNAcentral. Lineage: Eukaryota; Metazoa; Chordata; Mammalia; Primates; Hominidae.